This 858-nucleotide ribosomal RNA is filed under the name uncultured bacterium. RNAcentral's name for it is "SSU rRNA". It matches the Rfam family "Bacterial small subunit ribosomal RNA", at positions 524 to 1381 of the family's 1533-position model. The record is from RNAcentral.
UACGUAGGGGGCAAGCGUUGUCCGGAAUGAUUGGGCGUAAAGGGCGCGUAGGCGGCCUGUUAAGUCUGGAGUGAAAGUCCUGCUUUCAAGGUGGGAAGUGCUUUGGAAACUGGCGGGCUGGAGUGCAGGAGAGGUUAGCGGAAUUCCCGGUGUAGCGGUGAAAUGCGUAGAGAUCGGGAGGAACACCAGUGGCGAAGGCGGCUAACUGGACUGCAACUGACGCUGAGGCGCGAAAGUGUGGGGAGCAAACAGGAUUAGAUACCCUGGUAGUCCACACUGUAAACGAUGAAUGCUAGGUGUAGGGGGUAUCGACCCCUUCUGUGCCGGAGUAAACACAAUAAGCAUUCCGCCUGGGGAGUACGGCCGCAAGGUUGAAACUCAAAGGAAUUGACGGGGGCCCGCACAAGCAGCGGAGCAUGUGGUUUAAUUCGAAGCAACGCGAAGAACCUUACCAGGUCUUGACAUCCAGUAAAAUCUGUAGAGAUACAGUGUGCCUUCGGGCGUACUGAGACAGGUGGUGCAUGGUUGUCGUCAGCUCGUGUCGUGAGAUGUUGGGUUAAGUCCCGCAACGAGCGCAACCCUUGUGAUUAGUUACUAACGCGUAAAGGCGAGGACUCUAAUAAGACUGCCGGGGACAACUCGGAGGAAGGUGGGGACGACGUCAAAUCAUCAUGCCCCUUAUGACCUGGGCUACAAACGUGCUACAAUGGCCACUACAGAGAGCUGCGAGCCCGUAAGGGUAAGCGAAUCUCAUAAAAGUGGUCCCAGUUCGGAUUGUGGGCUGCAACCCGCCCACAUGAAGUCGGAGUUGCUAGUAAUCGCGAAUCAGCAUGUCGCGGUGAAUACGUUCCCGGGCCU